Molecule: transfer RNA, 27 nt
Filed under: Gymnura zonurus (zonetail butterfly ray)
Lineage: Eukaryota; Metazoa; Chordata; Chondrichthyes; Myliobatiformes; Gymnuridae
Description: partial tRNA-Leu
Source: RNAcentral
GCCUUAGAAAGAUAAUAGACAUCUAUU